AUGUUCCGGUGGGGCAAGAGCACCAAGAACCCAGCUCCGGCCGCCGGGGAGGAGGUGGCGGUGCAAAAGGUGGAGAAGAUCGAGUUCCGCAACCUCAUCCACAUCAAGCCUCCUGUCGGCGCCGGCGGCGGGGCCAUCGGCAACGCGUGGAAGCCACAGCCAUGGACGGCCGGCGCCGGCAGCUCCGGCGCGGCGAGGAAGCCCGACAGCCCCGGAGACGACAUCAACUCGAGGGCGGGCAGGUUCAUCGAGGACACUAAGAAGGGGUGGCGCCUCGGCGUCAAGUCAUUCGGCGGCCGUUAG
RNAcentral lists this ribosomal RNA (303 nucleotides) under Triticum aestivum (bread wheat). RNAcentral's name for it is "partial small subunit ribosomal RNA". Lineage: Eukaryota; Viridiplantae; Streptophyta; Magnoliopsida; Poales; Poaceae. The record is from RNAcentral.